GACUCUAUAAUAUAUGUAUGUAUUUACACUCGUCCAUACUCCCUAUAUAAAUUCAUGGGUCUAUAUAGGGCUACUACGCUCGCGUCCAACGCUCACGUCACGCCUUAAUGCGGUGCUACACUACGCCAUCAAGGUGGACAGACGGGUGUAUAAAUAUGUGCCCAUACCCCCUAUAUGAAUUAAACACUCAUAUAGGGCUACUACGCUUACGUCCAACGCUCACGUCACACCAUAAUGCGGCUAUAUGCUACGCCAUUAAGGUGGACAGACACAUAUGGCUAGCUAGCAGUUUCUAUACAUACUCUCUCAUAAAUACAUAUUUAUAUUUACCGAAAAUCCCAUUUUCGGUAACUCUCUCAAAGAAAUAAAAGCGUCAAAAUUAAUUGACGUCAAAACUCCAACAAAAGGAAAUGUUCAAUCAUGAACCAUAGCAUGCAUAUUAUUUCAAAUAAAAGUCCACUCACGAAUUAGGCCUAAGCCUGAUGUCAAUCUGGGGUCUCGUCUGCUCGAGCCUCUUCACGUCCUGUUCCAAAUAUAAUAUUAAUUUCCCAACCAAUAAUCCAAUAUUUAAUCAAAAUAGGCAAAAUUACCCGAGAGCCAUAAUUACGCUCAUCAUUGCCUUACUUCGAUAUUCUUACAUCGGAACAAUCCGAACUUAAAUAUCAUACUCAACAGUCGUAAAUACAACCUCCCCAAAAUACGACUUAAAUCCUACGGCCGGAUUCUACAUUAAUUAACCGCCAAAAAUACCAAACUUCGGAAAUUCACAAACCUAUCCAAAUCUCAUCCAAAAAUUCCAUAACUCACUUCAAUAAACUCCCCUUAAUAUUCCAAAUUUAACAACAUUAAAAUCUCCCAACCGGCGGCGGCGCCGGCGGCGGCUCCGCCGGCAGCGGCGGCCGGAGGUCAAUUCCGGCGACCUCCAAACCUAUGAAUUUAACAGCAUCUUCCUCUCAUCAAGCUCUACAACUUUCAUAACUAGCACAAACUACCAAUUCCAAGCCUAAC
This 1008-nucleotide long non-coding RNA is filed under the name Fragaria vesca (wild strawberry). RNAcentral's name for it is "long non-coding RNA (FVES_LNC004764)". Lineage: Eukaryota; Viridiplantae; Streptophyta; Magnoliopsida; Rosales; Rosaceae. The record is from RNAcentral.